RNAcentral lists this ribosomal RNA (255 nucleotides) under uncultured bacterium. RNAcentral's name for it is "partial 16S ribosomal RNA". It matches the Rfam family "Bacterial small subunit ribosomal RNA", at positions 524 to 777 of the family's 1533-position model. The record is from RNAcentral.
UACGAAGGGGGCUAGCGUUGUUCGGAAUUACUGGGCGUAAAGCGCACGUAGGCGGAUAUUUAAGUCAGGGGUGAAAUCCUGGAGCUCAACUCCAGAACUGCCUUUGAUACUGAGGAUCUUGAGUUCGGGAGAGGUGAGUGGAACUGCGAGUGUAGAGGUGAAAUUCGUAGAUAUUCGCAAGAACACCAGUGGCGAAGGCGGCUCACUGGCCCGAUACUGACGCUGAGGCACGAAAAGCGUGGGGAGCAAACAGGG